AUGGACCGAAUAUGUAUUGCCUCCCGCCUCUGGAUGUACUACUAGAUGCCGGAGCAGGCCGAGCGGCUGCGGCUGCCUUCUUUCGUUGCUUACAAGACAGAGGAGAAGGACUAUGACGCGCCGGAGCAGCCGGAGCGACGGUGGGUCUCUUCCACCCUUGCUGAUAAGGCGGAGAAGGAGGAGGCUGGCUGGUCGGGCGCGCCGGCCCAAUCAAACCACAGCCAGGGCGCAUGGCUUCUCUCUCUGUCUUGCUCCUCUCUCGAUCCCCUCCAGGUCCAGCCGCCACCGCCGAACGCCGACCUCCGUCCUCUCCCCCAACCCCAACCCCAACUCCAACUCCGGCCUCCACUCCACCGCCGGCGAUCCAUCCGUUCCCCUUCUCUCCCUCGCCGUAGAUCCGCUCGAGCAGCGCAGCCCACGGUCAGAUCAGAUCCUCGCGCCCGAAACCCUAGACCUCCGGCCAUGGCGACCGGCCGUAGCACAGGUUGGAGGUGCCACCAUGGAUUCCUCUGCCGGGGACGCCGCCCAAGUGCUCCUCAAGGCCCGCUGCUCCUUCUUCCUCCUUUUCCUCAAAUUCAAGGGCAAGCAGCAGCACACGCCAUCCUCAAGGCGCACGGUUCUUCUCUUCUCUGAUGGAUGGAUGGAUGGAUGGAUGGGUUGGUCGUGGAGGAGGAGAACGACCAGGAGAAUAGGGAUCCCGUCUCUUCUCUUCUCUUCAUCAAUGCCGGCCAGGAACAAUGACCCAGCCACCCCUCAAGGAAAGGUAAAGGCAGGAGUGCAAACCCUUGGAGUUCAUGUAGAGGAAUCCGCUCUCAUGGGUCACAGAGGCCCUCCUCCCAUCAGAACCGGGCUGCCUGUUGUAUGUACAGCAUAAAGAUUUGGAUGCACACUGUGGUGGUUUCUUCAUAUUACACGUGCAGCCAGCCGUGUACGUCCAAACUCUACCUGCCGCUGUGUGAUGCCAGCGAUUUCACCCGCCACGCCGCGACCGUGGUGGUGGUGAUGUCUGGCCUCGGCUACAACUUGCGCAGGAUUUGGCCUCUGGAUAUGGUUCCUGUGAUGUUGCUUUGUUGGCUGCUCAUCGGGAACACGCCAUUGCUGUUGUUGUACCUUCCCCAAGGUCACCCACGGCUCCAAGCUCGAGUCCAUGGAUCCCUGCUCCAGCGUCAAUGAUAGGAUCUGGUACAGCAGAGAAGAAGGGGUUCAUCAUCUUCCUCUGAGUGGCGGUGUUGUUUGGCAUCGGCUACACAACAGCCACACAAAAAGAUUUGGAUGCAGACUGUGGUGGUUACUUCAUAGUACACGUGCAACUGUGUAGGUUCAAACUCUCCCUGCCGUCGUGUGACGCCAGCGAUUUCACUCGCCAUGCCACGACCACGGCGGUGGCGAUGUCCGGCCUCGGCUACAACUUGCACAGGAUUUGGCCUCUGGAUGGAUGUUAUGGUUCAUGUGAUGUUACUCUGCUGGCUGUCAUCGGGAACAUGCCAUUGCUUUUGCUGUACCUCACCCAAGAUCACCCAUGACUCCCAGCUCGAGUCCUUGGAGCCUUGCUCCAGCGUCAAUGAAAGGAUCCAGUACAGUAGGGGGGAAGGGGUUUCUCGUGCCAGGCACCUUGGCAUCUUUUGCUGUGCCGUGGUGCUGUUUGGCAUUGGCCACAAUAGCUACAGCGAGCUCCUUUGCUUCCUCUGCUCGCCUCUUAUUGCUCUGAUAGAUGGUUACAAUUUGGUUAGCAAGGUGUUGUAGGUCGAUGGAGGCUAUGGUCCCUGUGAUGUGUCUGGGGUUCAUGCGAAUUGUUGGUUAUGUUGCUAGUGCUACAAUCUGGUUGGUUAUGUUUGCUCUGCUGGGUUUAGGAUGUCUAAGUGAGCUAGUUUCCACUGCUCUAAUCAUAUAGGCAUAGUACAUGAUUACUAGCAAUUCUCUUCUGGUGUAGGUGGUCUAUGUUCAUCUCUAGCCCGUGUGUGCUGUGCUGUGCUCAUGUGAGCAGGAAAUUACCAAGUGUAUUUUUGUUGCAAAUGUAUUCUGCCCAUUAGCAGAUCAUGUUGAUAUGCUACAGUACAGGGGUUUAGUUCACUGAACGAUCAAUGAUCUCUUCUAAGGAAUUCUUCUUGUACGAGUUUCAGUUUUUGAUGUUCUGUGCACUGACCGAUCAAUGACCUUCUAUGAGAAGAAAGAAAAUCACUCAUUCCUAGCUGUGUAUGUGUGUAUCGACAAACAAGUUGGUUAUUGUCAAGGUGGCUUGCUGCCUCCUAUUUGCAUAGAAUACUUCUUUAUUACCUCAACUAGGUCAUUGCUGUUGAUGUACCUUACCUCAACUAGCUCACCCCAUGAUUUCUCCAAGCUUGGGUCUUGUUUUGUUUUUCUAUUUGGCCUCAAGAUUAUCUUCUUAUUUCUUUUGUCCUUGUGGAGCAGGAUUUUAUUCGUUACAAUAAGGGGUUCGUCGUGCCAGGCUCCGCGGCGCUGUUGCUUCCAUGUGAUGGUGUUGUUUGGCAUCGGCUACAAAAACAGCCACGAGGACCGGGAGCUUGCAGCAACAGCAUCUCCGACCCCUUCCUGAUGAGCUGCACGUUGUGGACCAGGUCCCAGUGGAGUUUCUUGUAUGUACCCACAAGGGCCGUCAUUGGCUCCACCUGCGCCCUCUUGCUGGCCUUCCAUAGAGGAUGAGGAGUUUGUGGUAGCAUCUCCGGCCCCUCCCUGACGAGCUGCAGGUCGUAGAUGAGGUCCUAGCCGAGGAGAACAUUCCCCUGGAGGAGGGUGUUUGACAACCUGAGGAAUGGCCGUGAUAUCCUCACCGCUGACAGCGCCUUCAAAUCUUAGGCCCAAACAAGCUUGAUUGACGAGGAACCCAAGUUCUUGGGUUCGUGGAGGCCGCUGCCAUCACGCUUGCCAAUGGAUGUUCUGGAGAGCAUAUCUAUGUGAAGAAAAGAAAAGGCUGCCACAGGACGCCGCUCAAGGGAAGAAAAUCUAUGCUGGAGAUGGGAGAGCAAGUUUUAUCUUGUGGAGGGCGAGAAGACGGACUGAUGGACCUUGUAGCGGCGCUUGGUUGUAAUUGAGCUCGUUUUGUGUUGGUGUUGUUUGCUCCUCUCGAGGACCAUUCAGUUUUUUUUAAGGGAGGACCAUUCAGUUUCUAAAGAAGGACAAGAGGCGCAACGAGUCCAGGAUAAAUAGUAAUACCUGUGCUGUGCAAUUGAAUCUCAAGGGGCUCAAUCCAGCAGCUCUCCACUAGUAGACUCUAAUGUCCAACGGGACUAGUGUAGUGAAAUCUUGUGAGAUGAUUUGUUGGUUGUCUCUAUUCUUCUGUACAUAUGAAUUCUAAUUUGAGAGAUAUGAAAUCUAAAGAUGUUUGAAA
Long non-coding RNA from Triticum aestivum (bread wheat), 3346 nucleotides. RefSeq lists it as uncharacterized. The transcript has 14 exons. NCBI's taxonomy places the organism in Eukaryota, Viridiplantae, Streptophyta, Magnoliopsida, Poales, Poaceae. The record is from RefSeq and is a predicted model, not a curated record.